Ictidomys tridecemlineatus (thirteen-lined ground squirrel) is the source of this 3006-nucleotide non-coding RNA. The record is from RefSeq and is a predicted model, not a curated record. NCBI's taxonomy places the organism in Eukaryota, Metazoa, Chordata, Mammalia, Rodentia, Sciuridae.
GCGGGUGGCGAUGAGCUGGCGCUUGUGCACUUCGGAUGUGUGUGUCCCUGAUGGCCACAGUUAACAGGAUGAGAACCAGGUCUGGAACCGAGGCGCAGGGGCAGCCACAGGCUGUGGGCCGGCAAGGAUCAGUGAUAGGUGAGAGGGUGACGGAGCAGUGGCUUCCUCCAAGACCUUGGGGUUCAUACUGGGGAGGCCCGAAUUCGACUCUGGAUGCAGGAACUGUCCUUUAGAGAGCAACACAGGCUACAGGAGAAAAGUCUCAGGUGCAUCUACAGCAGAAGAACCAACCAUGGGGCAGAUGCGACCCUGGGGGCCUCGUGCACAAGAGAGAACAGAGAAACAGUGGCUCCUCUCUCUCCCUCUUUCUCUCUUUGUUUUUUGACCACCGACUUUAGGCAGGCAUUGAAGAGGUAAAAUUAUAGUGUCAUCAACUGCAGAUAUCCAGCCUGUGGGCACAGAGCAAAUGAUAUGCUCUAUGCAUGUGCAAUUAGAGGGAGUGCGGUUUCUCCCUGUCCCCCCACCCCCACCCAGGACAGCCAGAGCCUCAUGUCUGCUGGGGAUGGUGCACAGCAUCCUGAUACCAGGAGCAAAGCAUGCUGUGUGUGGACACGCCAGAGCCUGUUCUUUACCGACCAUGUGGUGAGGGGACACGUGGGGAUUGUUUCUGUUCUCCAGGGGCAGGACAGACAGUGGUUUGUGGCCUGGGAAGGGACAUCACAGGGACACCAUCUUUGAUCUGGAGUCUCCUGCAGGGAAAGAACAGAAUUUGUUCUACGCCGGGCACACGAGGGAAGUGCUGGUUCCAGGCCCAGCAGGGCCCCACCUGCACCUGGGAGCCUCUGGCAAUCCCACCCUCAACCUCGGGCCUUUGUGGGAGAUGCCAGCCCCACCUUGUUCAGAAUCCAGGUUCGGACAGGAGGAAGCCCCUUCUUUGCCCGGAUCAUGGGGAUGAUUCUCUGGGUGCAAUGCUACAGGCUCGUGGCAGUGGGGACUGUUUACUUUUAACCUCUCUUAGAUGUAGAGAAACGUUGUUUGGUGGUUUCAUUUUUUGAAAAUGACAGCAUACCUUAGAAUCACCUUGAAAUGCACUGUGCCAUCCGAGCUGUUAUGAGGAGCUUAAACUGUUGGGGGCCAGCGAAGCGUGCUUGUUUCCAAGCCCAGAAAUCACUCGAAGGCAGAGAAUCAACUCCUCGGAAGCCACACUGUACAGGGCUGCGAUGGUAAUAUAUAAACCACUGAAGUAAAGUUCAAGUGGUGUGUAAAUGUCAUCAGGUCCGUGAUAUUAAAAAUGCCAUUCUGUGGCAUGUGCAGUUUGGGUGGAGUUCAUGAUUAUUAAAUCUUGGAAAGCACCAGUCAACACAUUCAGAAAGUCAUAAUCCUGUGUGGGUCCUGCCGAUGCAUUACCCAGGCCACCCCUGCCCUCCAGGGUCCAUGAACAAAGGCCUUGCUGGACACCCAUAGCCAACUGUGGCUCUGGGGAGAAGGGGAGAUGCCAGGGGAUGGGAAGCCAGGUGUACCCAGGGACUUACAGGGGCUCCCCUCGAGCCGGACAUACCCCAAAGUCCCUUCAGCUCCUGUUAGCACCCUGUCUGUCCCUCAAGAUGCUUACCUGGAGGGCCAAGUCCAGCUUCUCCGUGCUCCCCACAGCCCAGCAGCACAGCACUCUGUGAUGCCACCCCCAAGCCAGCCCCUGGUUAUGUUUCAAGCCACCCAUUUGUUAUUUUUGUAUAAAUAGAACUGACUCAUUCAUUUCACUUUAAUUUGACAGGCGUUUAUUGAGGACUGGCUAUUUUGGGAGCUGUGUUUGGCCAUUGUCACCUAUUUAUUUCCAAGUGGAAAGUCAGUAAUGAGAUGGAAACCAGACUUUGCAGAUUGGAAUCUAAUGCUUCUGAUUUUCACAGGGGAACGCAGCCACGUGGAGCCCAACAAGGAACACAGGCACAAACUGUUCAUGUCACACCCACCCGUGCAAACCGCGGAGGAAGGCCAGGUGCACCCUGCCCUCAGGUAGCUCACCAGGUAAGGGAAGGCGGAAACGCCCAUCGUCAGUCAUUGGGGGCUUCAGAGAAGGAGUCUGGCUUUGGCCCAACCACCCUGCACCUCAUCACUACACCUGGAUGCCCAGCAAGUCCCACACCCAUGAGAGCCUGGCUCUCAAGGGGCCUGCUCUGGUCACCCACAGGAGCUGGCUCUGUAGAUUUGUAGCACGUGUUUGAUGUUUUUAUUAAUUCUUAAAAAUGAUUUGCAAGCAUAACUCAGACACAGUGAGAAACGUGGGGAGUUGAGGAGGCAUGGAGCUCCUCGCUGCGGGUGGGAGUGGGUUCACAGGGGUCACCCAUCUCAGAGCCCCCCCUCUCCCAUCCCCCCAGAUCUCAGUGGCUGAGCACUGGCCCCGUCAAGGUGUUCAUCCAGCAGGCUCAGCCCAUUGUCCUAAUAAGCUGUGAUGCCACGGUCCUGGGAGGGGACAUUCACAGCAGAGCCCUGGCCAUGAAACCAGGGACGGGCUCAGACUUGCACCAGCUGGCGUGGCUGAGCUCUUCUGUUGGGUGCGCCCUGACCCGAGGACCACGAUUCUAAGUCUCUGGGAAGGUUUGGUGCAAGCCAUUCUGUGGAGGUGAGAGGGACGGAUUCCUUCUGACAUCCUUGCCUGGCCCGGCCACCUCCCAGGUCACCCUUCCCAGCGGCUGCAGUCUGGAGUGUCUGCAAGGUAGGAACCUGGGCGCCGCUCUGCUUCUCGUGGUUUCCACUGGGCAUUUCCCCAGGACUCGGACUUGCUCCUCUGGGUUUUCCCAGCACAAAGCUGGUGCCAGUGGAGCGGCCGAGGACAGCACACCGGGGCAGAACUGCUGCCGGCUCAGAAUGGGUGCCACGGCCCAAGACGUUCACGGACCUUAUUUCUAGUUGCAACCUGAAUCUCAUUAUGGUCUUUCUGACGUCAGCAAUAAACAACAAUAAGAUUGUAAACUGUUGGUCUUUAUAAUAAAAUUAUGUUUCUUGGAUGUA